RNAcentral lists this ribosomal RNA (231 nucleotides) under uncultured Staphylococcus sp. RNAcentral's name for it is "partial 16S ribosomal RNA". It matches the Rfam family "Bacterial small subunit ribosomal RNA", at positions 131 to 355 of the family's 1533-position model. The record is from RNAcentral. Lineage: Bacteria; Bacillati; Bacillota; Bacilli; Caryophanales; Staphylococcaceae.
UAUAAGACUGGGAUAACUUCGGGAAACCGGAGCUAAUACCGGAUAAUAUAUUGAACCGCAUGGUUCAAUAGUGAAAGACGGUUUUGCUGUCACUUAUAGAUGGAUCCGCGCCGCAUUAGCUAGUUGGUAAGGUAACGGNUUACCAAGGCAACGAUGCGUAGCCGACCUGAGAGGGUGAUCGGCCACACUGGAACUGAGACACGGUCCAGACUCCUACGGGAGGCAGCAGCC